GGGCCGAUAGUUUAAUCGGUAGAGCACCGGUCUUGUAAGCCUGGGGAUCUAGGUUCGAAUCCUAGUCGGUCCA
Molecule: transfer RNA, 73 nt
Filed under: Salmonella enterica subsp. enterica serovar Derby
Lineage: Bacteria; Pseudomonadati; Pseudomonadota; Gammaproteobacteria; Enterobacterales; Enterobacteriaceae
Description: tRNA-Thr
Rfam family: tRNA
About the family: Transfer RNA (tRNA) molecules are approximately 80 nucleotides in length. Their secondary structure includes four short double-helical elements and three loops (D, anti-codon, and T loops).
Source: RNAcentral